CCUACGGGUGGCAGCAGUGGGGAAUAUUGGACAAUGGGCGAAAGCCUGAUCCAGCCAUGCCGCGUGUGUGAAGAAGGCCUUCGGGUUGUAAAGCACUUUCAGUGGGGAAGAAAGCCUUGGGGCUAAUACCCUCGAGGAAGGACAUCACCCACAGAAGAAGCACCGGCUAACUCCGUGCCAGCAGCCGCGGUAAUACGGAGGGUGCGAGCGUUAAUCGGAAUUACUGGGCGUAAAGCGCGCGUAGGCGGUCUGAUAAGCCGGUUGUGAAAGCCCCGGGCUCAACCUGGGAACGGCAUCCGGAACUGUCAGGCUAGAGUGCAGGAGAGGAAGGUAGAAUUCCCGGUGUAGCGGUGAAAUGCGUAGAGAUCGGGAGGAAUACCAGUGGCGAAGGCGGCCUUCUGGACUGACACUGACGCUGAGGUGCGAAAGCGUGGGUAGCAAACAGGAUUAGAUACCCGUUAGUC
Molecule: ribosomal RNA, 464 nt
Filed under: Vreelandella stevensii
Lineage: Bacteria; Pseudomonadati; Pseudomonadota; Gammaproteobacteria; Oceanospirillales; Halomonadaceae
Description: partial 16S ribosomal RNA
Rfam family: Bacterial small subunit ribosomal RNA
Source: RNAcentral